RNAcentral lists this long non-coding RNA (273 nucleotides) under Hordeum vulgare. RNAcentral describes it as "long non-coding RNA (HVUL_LNC020147)". Lineage: Eukaryota; Viridiplantae; Streptophyta; Magnoliopsida; Poales; Poaceae. The record is from RNAcentral.
CAUAAUUGUAUAACCCCGCCGUUUUCCAGGGGUCGUGUUUACAAGUGGCAGCGAUUAGCUACGCCAUUUCUGGUGGUUUAAGUACGGAUUAGGAGUCCAGUCGCUGUCCCGGCGUACGUACGUACUCCGUUGUUUUUGCCCCUUCUAAUCGUCCGUGUAGACCCUCCUGAUGAUUCCACAUCGCUGGCCAAGCGUAGCACGCUGUACUACUACUACCACUAUUAUCUGAGAAUCUGAUGGUGAAAUUUGGUACAGUAGCACUGCAAAUCCAUC